RNAcentral lists this ribosomal RNA (450 nucleotides) under uncultured Glomeromycotina. Its description in RNAcentral is "SSU rRNA". It matches the Rfam family "Eukaryotic small subunit ribosomal RNA", at positions 569 to 1025 of the family's 1831-position model. The record is from RNAcentral. Lineage: Eukaryota; Fungi; Glomeromycota.
AGCAGCCGCGGUAAUUCCAGCUCCAAUAGCGUAUAUUAAAGUUGCUGCAGUUAAAAAGCUCGUAGUUGAAUUUCGGGAUCAAUAUGUUGGUCGUGCCUCGGUACGUACUAGCUUAUUGGUUUCUCCCUUCUGACGAACCAUGAUGUCAUUUAUUUGGUGUUAUGGGAAAUCAGGACUGUUACUUUGAAAAAAUUAGAGUGUUUAAAGCAGGCUCACGCUUGAAUACAUUAGCAUGGAAUAAUGAAAUAGGACGUUUGAUUCUAUUUUGUUGGUUUCUAGGAUCGACGUAAUGAUUAAUAGGGAUAGUUGGGGGCAUUAGUAUUCAAUUGUCAGAGGUGAAAUUCUUGGAUUUAUUGAAGACUAACUACUGCGAAAGCAUUUGCCAAGGAUGUUUUCAUUAAUCAAGAACGAAAGUUAGGGGAUCGAAGACGAUCAGAUACCGUCGUAGUC